This 337-nucleotide ribosomal RNA is filed under the name uncultured bacterium. Its description in RNAcentral is "bacterial SSU rRNA". It matches the Rfam family "Bacterial small subunit ribosomal RNA", at positions 28 to 363 of the family's 1533-position model. The record is from RNAcentral.
GAUGAACGCUAGCGGCAGGCCUAAUACAUGCAAGUCGAGGGGCAGCGCGGUAGCAAUACUGGCGGCGACCGGCGCACGGGUGCGUAACACGUAUGCAACCUACCUUCAACUGGAGGAUAGCCCGGGGAAACUCGGAUUAAUACUCCAUAACACAGGGAUCCCGCAUGGGAAUAUUGUUAAAAGCUACGGCGGUUGAAGAUGGGCAUGCGUUCGAUUAGCUAGUUGGUGUAGGUAACGGCUCACCAAGGCUACGAUCGAUAGGGGGUCUGAGAGGAUGAUCCCCACACUGGUACUGAGAUACGGACAGACUCCUACGGGAGGCAAGCAGUAGGGAAUA